CAAGGAUAUACCCUAUUUGAAGCCUCACCAUUUUUUUUUUUUUAUUCAACAAUAAUUUUCUGGUGGCUUUAUUUUAUUCAACAAUGAUUUUCUGGUGGCUUGUGGGGUAGGAUAGAUGGAAUGUAUUAGAGAAAUAGGAAACUUUUUUUAAAAAAUGGUUAAUUUUAUACAAUUCUCUGUAAACAUAGUGAAUGAUAAAUAUAUUUUUACAAAAUUUAAUUUUUAUAUAUUGUCUCACCAAAUAUCCUAAUAUUUUCAAAUAUAUUCGUCCCUUUGGUUUGUUAUCGUUUUAGAACUGUUUAUGUUUUGAAUUUUGCCAUCAUAAAUAUGUCCCUCCAAAAGGCAUUAAGUAUUUAAUCUAUGGUUAACUAAAUUUUUUUAACAGAUUCUAACGGUAGAGAUAUAUUUGAAAAUAUCGAGACUUUUGUAGGGAUAAUAUAUAAAAGCUGAACUUUAUAAAUAUCUAUUUGUCUCUCACUAUAUUUACAGAAAUCUGUAUUAAAUUAAUUCUUAAAAUAUAUUAUUUUUUC
This 530-nucleotide long non-coding RNA is filed under the name Ananas comosus (pineapple). RNAcentral's name for it is "long non-coding RNA (ACOM_LNC009265)". Lineage: Eukaryota; Viridiplantae; Streptophyta; Magnoliopsida; Poales; Bromeliaceae. The record is from RNAcentral.